ACUUAUUGAGAUAAGACAGAUUGAUAGCUCUUUCUCAAACUUAAGGGUAGCGGUGCAUGGCCGUUCUAAGUUCGUGGAAUGAAUUAUCUGGUUAAUUCCGGUAACGAACGCGACUCAGUCAAGCUAACUAGAACGCUGUCAGUAGUGUGCCUCCGGGCGCACCUGACGUUAGGAGUGGCGGGUGUCCUCACGGGUGCCCGUCACUUAGUUUGCCCUGCUUAGCGGGACAACUUGUGUUUAGCAAGAUAAGAUUGAGCGAUAACAGGUCCGUGAUGCCCUUAGAU
Anopheles gambiae str. PEST is the source of this 284-nucleotide ribosomal RNA. It matches the Rfam family "Eukaryotic small subunit ribosomal RNA", at positions 1228 to 1478 of the family's 1831-position model. The record is from Rfam. NCBI's taxonomy places the organism in Eukaryota, Metazoa, Arthropoda, Insecta, Diptera, Culicidae.